RNAcentral lists this long non-coding RNA (247 nucleotides) under Malus domestica (apple). Its description in RNAcentral is "long non-coding RNA (MDOM_LNC012159)". The record is from RNAcentral. Lineage: Eukaryota; Viridiplantae; Streptophyta; Magnoliopsida; Rosales; Rosaceae.
CCACAACCACCUUCGAAACCAGAUCGCAUAGUUGUUCCCACUGCCUCACACAUCAACAAACCCAAAACAUCCAACCCCCAAAAUUCGAAACAAAAAACAGAAAAAAAUUUACAAAAUUGUUAUGCCUCUAAAACCCAGUCGCUCUAUCAGCCGCACAUUAGUCGUUCCAGCACCUCCAAUAUCUAAAUCGUGCCAUGGGCUCUAUUGAUUGUAUGAUUGUUGGUUUUUCUUGGCUGUGAAAGGAUAA